RNAcentral lists this long non-coding RNA (574 nucleotides) under Olea europaea (common olive). RNAcentral's name for it is "long non-coding RNA (OEUR_LNC004523)". The record is from RNAcentral. Lineage: Eukaryota; Viridiplantae; Streptophyta; Magnoliopsida; Lamiales; Oleaceae.
AAUUUAGGGUUAGGAGUAUAUCUCUAUCUUCUACAAAAACUUAAGGCACUACUAUUUUUGUUUAAAAUGAACAAUAAUCUCUCAACAAUUGCACAAAUCACUCAACACAAUCAUUUAUUGGCACAUAAAUGAGAAACAUUAAAUACAACAGUAAAUACACAAGAACAUAAGCAUUUUAACAUUAAAUAACAAAUAUUGAAAUUAAUCACACGAGGUUAAGCUACCUCUAUUACCCUAACAUUAAAAAGCUUAACUCAUUGUAUAAAAGUGGCACAAAAUGGAAAAGUUAGAGAAAUACAUUACAAAAUAGGGAAAAUAAAUGAUGAAAUACAAGACAAUAGGUGGAAUCCGUCCCUUGAACAGAUUCUUGAAGAUUGCAAGGGCUUAAUCUUGAUUUUCCUAAAGCCUCUCCACUUUUUCCUUGGUAUUCUUCUUCUUUUCAUGCUUCUUUACCCUUCUCAAUACUCUUCAAUGUGGUGCAUAAUAAAGCCUUUGAAAUUUCUCAAAAAGCCUCUUAAACUUGCACAAAUUUGCUCGUGUGAGUUGCCCAUCGCAAGGGUGCCGUUUAAGUCGG